This 259-nucleotide ribosomal RNA is filed under the name uncultured prokaryote. RNAcentral describes it as "partial 16S ribosomal RNA". It matches the Rfam family "Bacterial small subunit ribosomal RNA", at positions 524 to 782 of the family's 1533-position model. The record is from RNAcentral.
UACGUAGGUGGCGAGCGUUAUCCUGAAUUAUUGGGCGUAAAGAGCGCGCAGGUGGUUGAUUAAGUCUGAUGUGAAAGCCCACGGCCUAACCGUGGAGGGUCAUUGGAAACUGGUCGACUUGAGUGCAGAAGAGGGAAGUGGAAUUCCAUGUGUAGCGGUGAAAUGCGUAGAGAUAUGGAGGAACACCAGUGGCGAAGGCGGCUUCCUGGUCUGUAACUGACACUGAGGCGCGAAAGCGUGGGGAGCAAACAGGAUUAGA